GUCCACAAAAGGCCACCUGUGAGGAGCAUCCAUUGUUCAAGAUAUUGUAUAUAUUAAGCAUUUGUUUGGAUUUUUUUUUUUUCUCUAUAGGAUUGGAUUGAUAAUUUUGUAAGAUUUAUAGAUUGAGUACAACUAACAAGAUCACAUGACUAUAGGUUAGACUAGAUUUAUAUUCAUAAAAUAUCCAAGAAUUGCUUUGAAAUGAGUUGAUAUAAAUUUUAUAGGGAGAAAAAAAGGACUUGGAUUUUUUUUUCUUCUAGACCCACUUCAAAGUUACUUCUAGAUAUUUUAUGAAGAUAGAUUCAACUUAUUACAAUGGUUCAAUGAAUCCUAUAGAAUUUUUAGCAUAUAGAAAAUUUCAAAUAGAUCCUAAAGGAUUCUUUCUCCCUAUAUAUUGAAGUAGAGAAGAUUGGGAUCGAGUUACUGCAUGAGGUUGGACUUUGGAAUCUUCCGAGUAGGGAUAGCAAUGGAUCAGGUUGAUUGAUACUUGUAUCUAUCUCGACAGAAAAAAAUCAUAUCCAUAUCAUCACAUAUCCAUCUCGUUUCGGGUCAAAUAUAUCUGAAUUGGUCUCCCUUCCUCCUCCCCCAUCUUCGUCAUUGGCCCACCACCAUUGCGGUCUGAUCCAACCAUCUUCAAAUCCUAUAAAAUAUCAUGCUUCCACCAAGACUAAGCUCUCAAAAACCUCAAGAGACCAACUCAUACCGCCAUAACUCGCACAAAAUUUUAUAUGCUCGAGAAAAAACCCCGAUCAAAACCUAAAAAUCCC
RNAcentral lists this long non-coding RNA (767 nucleotides) under Elaeis guineensis (African oil palm). RNAcentral's name for it is "long non-coding RNA (EGUI_LNC077937)". The record is from RNAcentral. Lineage: Eukaryota; Viridiplantae; Streptophyta; Magnoliopsida; Arecales; Arecaceae.